CCCACCAACCCUGCAGGCAUGUUGAUCUUGGAUUUCCAGUGUCCAGAAGUGUAUGUAUGUAAAUAUAUGGGUAGGGGUGGCCAAGGGGGAAGAGUGUGUGUCUCUGUGGGAGAAAGAGGAGAAUUGCCCCAGCAGUCCCUAGAGCCCCAGGGAGUGGAGGCCCCCACUGUGGAGCCCUGUGGUGUAUGUGUGGUAACACCAUGUCUGUGUCCCUGCUCACCGACACUGCCACUGUGUCUGGAGCUGAGUGGGGAUCAGCUAUGGUUAUUUUUUUAUUAGUAUGUGGGCUUAGAGACACAGGGCACAGCUGGGCUGACGCCCUUUCCACCAUCCAGCUCCCUCAUAUCAAGUACAUCUGUCCCCAUGCACCUAAGAUCCCUGUGACAUUCAACAUGAAGAUGGUGAUGCCCUCCUGGUUUGAACUGAUGGGGCUGAGUCCAGAGGACGAGGCUGGCAUCAAGAAGGCAGCAGAGAACAUGAAGGCCUUGAUGGAGCACCAGAUGAAGAAUGGGAUCCCUGCCAAUCAGAUUGUCCUGGGAGGCUUUUCACAGGGUGGAGUGUUGUCUCUCUACACAGCCCUCACCUGCCCCCACCCUCUGGCUGGCAUUGUGACAUUGAACUAUUGGCUGCCUCUGCACUGGGCCUUCCUCCAGGCAGCCAAUGGCAGUGCCAAGGACCUGGCCACUCUUCAGUGCCUUGGGAACUGAGCCCCAUGAUGCCUGUACAGUUUGGGACCCUGACAGUCAAGAAGCUCCGGUCUGUUGUCACACCUGCCAGGGUCCAGUUCAAGACAUAUCUGGGUGUCAUGCAUGGCUCUUGUCCUCAGGUGAUAGCAACUGUGAAGGAUUUCUCGAGAAGCUGCUGCCUCCUGUCUAACCAGAGUUGCUGGCCCCCAGUGCAGACCCCCAGCUCAUGGGGAACCCAAGAAGCAAGUGUGGCACCAUCUUGAGCCGGUCGAGCCCCUGUCUCCACCCUUCCUGACUUCAUCUUCUUCCCACAGGCCUCUGGGGCAGAUGGCAAGACCUGGCCAGGCCUUCUUUCCUGGCCUCAGCCACCUGGCCCUGUCUGCAGCAGGAAUGGGCUGCUUUCUUAUCCCAUUUUCCUGGUGGCAGGUGCCCCUGGCAGCAGAACUGGAGGGGCUGUAGGCAGCUGGAGAAAGGGGCCCAGCUGCUGACCAACUCACUCAGGAUCUCACUCAUGAGCCCCGCUUUGGGCCUCCUCCUAUGACCUCAGGGUCUGGCCCAUGGGGCCUUCCCAGGCCCCUACCCCAAUUUAUUCUGCCCAGAUAAUCUUGUGUCUAUCCUGCCUCCACUCCAGCUGCUUCUUAAGCAUGAAUUUGGCCAUGGUCCUGGGGCCCUUUUGCUGCUGUGGGUUCCCUGCCCUGGGAAGAAGUGCUGGUGAGGAAGUGGAGUCUUUUAAGGGGGACUUCCCUCAGCUGUUCUGUUUCCCCUACUUGGGAGCUGGGCCCUGCCUCCCCAUUUCCCUCCUCCCUGCAGGCCUGAAGCCUGGAGGGCUAGAAUGAGGCUCAAGGUCUCCCCUAGCUGUCUUAGCCCUACUUUUUCCCACUCUAGGGCAGGUAGGUGGUGGGGGAGGAAUUGUGUCAGGUCUUCUGUCUCAGUGGUUUUGGGUGUUUUUCUUGUUGUAUCCUAGAUUCUGAUAAAAUUAAGAAAAUUAAUUGCUUCCUAAAAAACAAAAGAAAUACCUGUUAAGCCACCACACCAGGUCUGUGGUAUUCAUUUAUGUCA
Molecule: non-coding RNA, 1745 nt
Organism: Microcebus murinus (gray mouse lemur)
Lineage: Eukaryota; Metazoa; Chordata; Mammalia; Primates; Cheirogaleidae
Source: RefSeq, a predicted model, not a curated record